Molecule: unclassified non-coding RNA, 396 nt
Filed under: uncultured fungus
Lineage: Eukaryota; Fungi
Description: partial contains 5.8S ribosomal RNA and internal transcribed spacer 2
Rfam family: 5.8S ribosomal RNA (bases 1-133)
Source: RNAcentral
UGGUUCCCGCAUCGAUGAAGAACGCAGCGAAACGCGAUAGUUAAUGUGAAUUGCAGAAUUCAGUGAAUCAUCGAGUCUUUGAACGCACAUUGCGCCUUCCGGCAUUCCGGGAGGCACGUCUGUUCGAGCGUCAGUAAAAACCCUUCCGGGCCCCCUUUUCCUCCUUCCGGGGGAACGGUGCGGCCGCGGGUCCCUGACCGCGGGGACGAACGCCGUCGCGCUUUCGGGCGCGCGCGGAACGUCCCCCGUCUAAACGAGAAAAAAGCUAGCGGGCCUAUUGCCGCGACCGCGAAGACUAGUAGGAAUACAACGUGUCUCCGACGGUGGCCGGCGGGCCCCGCCUAAUUCAACGAAAACCAUUUUCUUGACCUCGGAUCAGAUGAGGAUACCCGCUGA